Molecule: transfer RNA, 67 nt
Filed under: Calameuta filiformis
Lineage: Eukaryota; Metazoa; Arthropoda; Insecta; Hymenoptera; Cephidae
Description: tRNA-Leu
Source: RNAcentral
AUUAUCUUGGCAGACUAGUGCCUUAAAUUUAGAAUUUAAAUAUAAAAAAGUUAUUUUUUAGAUAAUA